Non-coding RNA from Marchantia polymorpha subsp. polymorpha, 166 nucleotides. The record is from Rfam. Lineage: Eukaryota; Viridiplantae; Streptophyta; Marchantiopsida; Marchantiales; Marchantiaceae.
CAGGACGUAACCCCCGUCCUACCCAACCUAGACAUGCGUCGGGAGUAAUCUUGAGGUGUGAAACUAUAAUGACAAUGUAAUGAUUCUUGGGAUUCCUUACUAUACUAACCUCCAAGACGAUCCAUAGAACCUCUAGCUCGGCAAGCUUUAAGUUAAAGCAAAAUUG